This 1326-nucleotide ribosomal RNA is filed under the name Escherichia coli. RNAcentral's name for it is "partial 23S ribosomal RNA". It matches the Rfam family "Bacterial large subunit ribosomal RNA", at positions 418 to 1746 of the family's 2925-position model. Lineage: Bacteria; Pseudomonadati; Pseudomonadota; Gammaproteobacteria; Enterobacterales; Enterobacteriaceae. The record is from RNAcentral.
CGGGACACGUGGUAUCCUGUCUGAAUAUGGGGGGACCAUCCUCCAAGGCUAAAUACUCCUGACUGACCGAUAGUGAACCAGUACCGUGAGGGAAAGGCGAAAAGAACCCCGGCGAGGGGAGUGAAAAAGAACCUGAAACCGUGUACGUACAAGCAGUGGGAGCACGCUUAGGCGUGUGACUGCGUACCUUUUGUAUAAUGGGUCAGCGACUUAUAUUCUGUAGCAAGGUUAACCGAAUAGGGGAGCCGAAGGGAAACCGAGUCUUAACUGGGCGUUAAGUUGCAGGGUAUAGACCCGAAACCCGGUGAUCUAGCCAUGGGCAGGUUGAAGGUUGGGUAACACUAACUGGAGGACCGAACCGACUAAUGUUGAAAAAUUAGCGGAUGACUUGUGGCUGGGGGUGAAAGGCCAAUCAAACCGGGAGAUAGCUGGUUCUCCCCGAAAGCUAUUUAGGUAGCGCCUCGUGAAUUCAUCUCCGGGGGUAGAGCACUGUUUCGGCAAGGGGGUCAUCCCGACUUACCAACCCGAUGCAAACUGCGAAUACCGGAGAAUGUUAUCACGGGAGACACACGGCGGGUGCUAACGUCCGUCGUGAAGAGGGAAACAACCCAGACCGCCAGCUAAGGUCCCAAAGUCAUGGUUAAGUGGGAAACGAUGUGGGAAGGCCCAGACAGCCAGGAUGUUGGCUUAGAAGCAGCCAUCAUUUAAAGAAAGCGUAAUAGCUCACUGGUCGAGUCGGCCUGCGCGGAAGAUGUAACGGGGCUAAACCAUGCACCGAAGCUGCGGCAGCGACGCUGAUGCGUUGUUGGGUAGGGGAGCGUUCUGUAAGCCUGCGAAGGUGUGCUGUGAGGCAUGCUGGAGGUAUCAGAAGUGCGAAUGCUGACAUAAGUAACGAUAAAGCGGGUGAAAAGCCCGCUCGCCGGAAGACCAAGGGUUCCUGUCCAACGUUAAUCGGGGCAGGGUGAGUCGACCCCUAAGGCGAGGCCGAAAGGCGUAGUCGAUGGGAAACAGGUUAAUAUUCCUGUACUUGGUGUUACUGCGAAGGGGGGACGGAGAAGGCUAUGUUGGCCGGGCGACGGUUGUCCCGGUUUAAGCGUGUAGGCUGGUUUUCCAGGCAAAUCCGGAAAAUCAAGGCUGAGGCGUGAUGACGAGGCACUACGGUGCUGAAGCAACAAAUGCCCUGCUUCCAGGAAAAGCCUCUAAGCAUCAGGUAACAUCAAAUCGUACCCCAAACCGACACAGGUGGUCAGGUAGAGAAUACCAAGGCGCUUGAGAGAACUCGGGUGAAGGAACUAGGCAAAAUGGUGCCGUAACUUCGGGAGAAGG